RNAcentral lists this microRNA precursor (104 nucleotides) under Pteropus alecto (black flying fox). RNAcentral's name for it is "mir-544 microRNA precursor family". It matches the Rfam family "mir-544 microRNA precursor family". RNAcentral also lists the same sequence under 1 other name. The record is from Rfam by way of RNAcentral. Lineage: Eukaryota; Metazoa; Chordata; Mammalia; Chiroptera; Pteropodidae.
ACUACCUGGGGAUCUUGUUAAAAUGCAGAUUCUGAUUUAGUAGCUCUGGGGAUGAGCAUUAGGCUAAGAUUCUACAUUUUUAGCAAAUUCCAAGGUGAUGCCUA